CGUACACUCCUGCGGGAGGCAGCAGUGGGGAAUAUUGGACAAUGGGCGCAAGCCUGAUCCAGCCAUGCCGCGUGAGUGAUGAAGGCCCUAGGGUUGUAAAGCUCUUUCACCGGUGAAGAUAAUGACGGUAACCGGAGAAGAAGCCCCGGCUAACUUCGUGCCAGCAGCCGCGGUAAUACGAAGGGGGCUAGCGUUGUUCGGAUUUACUGGGCGUAAAGCGCACGUAGGCGGACUAUUAAGUCAGGGGUGAAAUCCCGGGGCUCAACCCCGGAACUGCCUUUGAUACUGGUAGUCUUGAGUUCGAGAGAGGUGAGUGGAAUUCCGAGUGUAGAGGUGAAAGUCGUAGAUAUUCGGAGGAACACCAGUGGCGAAGGCGGCUCACUGGCUCGAUACUGACGCUGAGGUGCGAAAGCGUGGGGAGCAAACAGGAUUAGAUACCCGUGUAGUCCC
This 450-nucleotide ribosomal RNA is filed under the name uncultured organism. Its description in RNAcentral is "partial 16S ribosomal RNA". It matches the Rfam family "Bacterial small subunit ribosomal RNA", at positions 330 to 797 of the family's 1533-position model. The record is from RNAcentral.